UAGGGAAUAUUGCUCAAUGGGCGAAAGCCUGAAGCAGCAACGCCGCGUGGAGGAUGACACUUUUCGGAGCGUAAACUCCUUUUCUUGGGGAAGAACAAUGACGGUACCUAAGGAAUAAGCAUCGGCUAAUUCCGUGCCAGCAGCCGCGGUAAUACGGAAGAUGCGAGCGUUAUCCGGAUUUAUUGGGUUUAAAGGGAGCGUAGGCGGGCUGUUAAGUCAGCGGUCAAAUGUCAGGGCCCAACCUUGGCAUGCCGUUGAUACUGGCGGCCUUGAGUUCACACAAGGAAGGUGGAAUUCGUCGUGUAGCGGUGAAAUGCUUAGAUAUGACGAAGAACUCCGAUUGCGAAGGCAGCCUUCUGGGGUGUUACUGACGCUGAGGCUCGAAAGUGCGGGAAUCAAACAGGAUUAGAUACCCUGGUAGU
RNAcentral lists this ribosomal RNA (422 nucleotides) under uncultured Paraprevotella sp. Its description in RNAcentral is "bacterial SSU rRNA". It matches the Rfam family "Bacterial small subunit ribosomal RNA", at positions 355 to 794 of the family's 1533-position model. The record is from RNAcentral. Lineage: Bacteria; Pseudomonadati; Bacteroidota; Bacteroidia; Bacteroidales; Prevotellaceae.